Molecule: ribosomal RNA, 247 nt
Filed under: uncultured bacterium
Lineage: Bacteria
Description: partial 16S ribosomal RNA
Rfam family: Bacterial small subunit ribosomal RNA
Source: RNAcentral
AUACGGAGGGUGCAAGCGUUAUCCGGAUUUAUUGGGUUUAAAGGGAGCGUAGGCGGGAUUGUAAGUCAGUGGUGAAAGCCCGUAGCUCAACUACGGAACUGCCAUUGAUACUGCAGACCUAGAGUACACUUGAAGUGGGCGGAAUGUGUCAUGUAGCGGUGAAAUGCUUAGAUAUGACACAGAACACCAAUUGCGAAGGCAGCUCACUAAAUUGUAACUGACGCUGAGGCUCGAUAGCGUGGGGAUC